AACGAACGCUGGCGGCAUGCCUAACACAUGCAAGUCGAACGAUGGUCUUCGGACCAUAGUGGCGCACGGGUGCGUAACGCGUGGGAAUCUGCCCUUGGGUUCGGAAUAACAGUUGGAAACGACUGCUAAUACCGGAUGAUGUCGAUAAGACCAAAGAUUUAUCGCCCGAGGAUGAGCCCGCGUCGGAUUAGCUAGUUGGUGGGGUAAAGGCCUACAAAGGCGACGAUCCGUAGCUGGUCUGAGAGGAUGAUCAGCCACACUGGGACUGAGACACGGCCCAGACUCCGCGGGGAGGCAGCAGGGGGGAAUGUUGGAAAAGGGGCGAAAGCCUAAUCCAGCAAGGCCGGGGGGGUGAUGAAGGCCUUAGGGUUGAAAAGCUCUUUUACCCGGGAAGAUAAUGACUGUACCGGGGAAAAAAGCCCCGGCAACCUCCGU
Molecule: ribosomal RNA, 435 nt
Filed under: uncultured bacterium
Lineage: Bacteria
Description: partial 16S ribosomal RNA
Rfam family: Bacterial small subunit ribosomal RNA
Source: RNAcentral